This is a long non-coding RNA of Canis lupus familiaris (dog), 6887 nucleotides long. RefSeq lists it as uncharacterized. Lineage: Eukaryota; Metazoa; Chordata; Mammalia; Carnivora; Canidae. The record is from RefSeq and is a predicted model, not a curated record. The transcript has 6 exons.
UCCAUGCACCGGGAGCCUGAUGUGGGAUUCGAUCCCGGGUCUCCAGGAUCGCGCCCUGGGCCAAAGGCAGGCGCCAAACCGCUGCGCCACCCAGGGAUCCCUCCAUGUUGGAUGUUGAUCAGCAUCCCUGGCCUUUGUCCACUGGAUGCCAGUAAACAACUCCCAACUGUAACAACCAAGGGUGUCUCCAGAUACUGCCAAAUUUCCCUACCCCCAACAUUGCUCUAAGUUUCUCAGAGUAUAUUCUUUGAAACACUAGUCCUUGACAUGCUCCAUGGGGAGAAAUGCUGUCACAAUCCUCUCUCACAGACUUAUAAUCAAACUUAAAGAAUCUGAGAAGUCCUGCAAUGAAGAAAUCUGCUUAACUUUGGUAAGCUGAGAAUAGCCCAAUUUUAUUUGACCUCAAAAUCUCUUUUUAUGUGACCCUGCUGUUCACCCAAUGUGGAAAGGAGUGCCUGUGCUCUCCCCAACUUGAGGCUCACCACCUUAUUCCCUGGGUGCCCUCUACUUACUCAUGGUUCACAUUACCCAGCUGGAGGUAAGUGAUGGGGUAAAUGGCUCCCAGGCUUACUGGAGGGAGGCACAGAGGCUCAAAAUUUAGUGUCCUGGGCUUUGAUUCUAGGACAGAGUAUAGAACCAAGAGGUUGAAAGGAACACUUGGGUGACUCUAGAGGGAGUUAGGUUGAGGUUCCCAAAUUUUACUAUAUAGUGGAGCCACCUCAAGGGCUUUGAAAAAAACUGCUGCAGCUAAAAACUGUGUUCCUUUCAGCAAAUGGGAUUUUGAGCCUCUGAGUUGUUUGCAGCACUUCAAGAAUGUUGGUAUUUGGAGCAGCCCAUCCCCUUCCUCAUUCAUAUGCAAAUCUUCUCCAACCUGAGGUCUCCUCAGUUUCUCUGGGUAGAUAAUUCUUUCCAAAUUCCUUACUUUUUAUGUUUAAAAGUUCCCCAGGUGUUCCACUCUGCUACAAAAUUGAGGGAUUAGGUUAGUGGUCCUUGAGCUAAACGGAUUCUCAGUAUCCUAUUCCACUCACUAGCAAUGGGUCUCCAGGAGGAGACAUGUGAGGGAAAGGAGGAGUUUUAUCCACUUUGUUGAUGGGAAACUGUUGUGACCGAUGUGAGUGAGAGACUGGAAUAUCCUCACUCCUAACCCAUUGCUCAUGCUGGCUAGAUUUCUGAGCCUUGGGUAACCUCCAGAAGGUGAGUGAAAGGCAGUUGCCCAGCACUUUGCACUUGGUGUGACCCCCAUGAUCCUCGGUACAUGUGUGGCAGACAUUACCAUUUCUUCUGCAGCUUUAGGGACUGGAAUGCCAGGGAUUUAGUAGAGGUUAGCCUGCUAAUAAGAGCCAAGCAGGGACUUCAACACAGACCUCAUGGCUGCAGAUCUCAAACUCCUAGUAGAUCAUGUUGCCAAGUAAGCCUGGCCUCUGAAAAUUAAGUUUAAAAAUGUUUUUUGUGCCUAUUUUCCAGAUUUGGGAAGUUGUUGAGUCUUACCCAAAAUAGUGUCAGAGAUUCCAAAUGAAGGAAAACAAGGAUAGUAUUUUCUCUUACCAAUUAGUGACUACACAUCUAUUCUAUACACAGGAGGAGAGGGGACUGAUGUGCACAUAGAAGCUCAGUAAUUCAUCCCCUUGUUGCCACCCAAAUUUGAUAAAUAGGAAGUUGUUGCUAAUGGGCCUCUGGCCCUUGGGAGUUGUUUUUUUCCUCCAUUUGGUAAAUGCAUCAUGCAGGGCAUCAUGAUAUGCCAUAUGUUUAAGUAAAUAUGAUAACCCCAGGGUGUAGGAUUUUUUUCUUUUUCUUCUUUUUUUUUGGAUGAAAUCAAAUUGAUUUCUGUGACUCCAGACAACUGGAAGACAAAAGGCAGACUCUCCCUAUGUGUGUGUGACAAAUAUUUAACUUGGAUUAAUCUACAUAACAGCAGGUGGGGGCUUUUUGCCAGCUGAGGGAGCUCAGAGGACUUAAUACUACUUAACUAUGUCAACUUUCUCUGUCAAGCAGAAUCUAAAUGGGUGAAAAAUUAGCAAGAAAAGCCAUAAAAUGUCAUUUUUAUGGAGUGGGGAAGAUUUACUUCAAAACAAUGUUUCAUUGUAUGGUGCAAUCUGUCACAGAUUAGCUAACAUUUGGUGGGAGCUAACUUCUUGAGGAACACAGUGAAUUUCGUUCUUCAGGGAGCACUUCCUUUAAACAUCUCCGCUCCUUUUUCCACUCUGCCUCCUUGGGUCCGUCACUAAUGGCUGAGUCUGUUUUCUCUUUGUAGGGAUGAUUUUGGCUUGAGCCUCUAGGGUUUGGCUUUAGAGAGCUAAGCAUUAUCCCUCUCCCAUUUGGCUCUUGGCAUGGCUAACUGGCACUCUUGGUUGCUGGGGUCAACUGAAUCUUCCUACUGAAUUGGCUGAGUCCUAUCCGUAGGCCUGUGUAGGGCCCAUGAGUUAAGGGUCAGGUCAAAUAGAGAAGAAUAUUCACAACCUAAAACAACUAGCUAGUUAAUGGGAACUAAAGUUCCCCAGAAUUAGUUUAGGGAAGGAAUUCCAGUAGGAAAAUCACCUAUGUAAGAACAGGCAUUCUGAGUGUAGCAGAGUAUGCCAAUGAGAGGAACCAGAAUCAAAACAACUCUGAAGAAAAUCUUCUUGCUUUUGUAUACUCAGAUUCUAUUCUUGAACUCUCCCUUUUUCUAAGGACUUUUCAUAAUAUGGAGUGACCUCAGUCUGCACGUGGUGAAUGCUUGACAGAGUCCAGUGUGACUUUGGGCAGCAUGGGGAGUGGCUGAGAGGAGGGCAUGCUGGGGCAAGGUUCUGAUGGAGGAAGGUGGAGACCCUAAGUCCUCACUAACCAGUUUAUUGUCCUUGGAUUGAAUUUUUGAUUCAUCAGAUGGGAAAUGGCUCUUACUAAAAGGCCAGGUCAUUUUCAGAUCCGAAACUACCACAGCAGUUGCUGAAAACCAUGUUCUCUCCAGUGAAUGAGAUUUUGAGCUGUUGUGUUAUUUGCUAUGCACAGAAUGUUUGUGUUUGUAGCUGCCCACCCCCUUCCUCAUUCACAUGCAAAUCUCCUCCAGCCUGAGCUCUUCUCAGUUUCUCUGGGUAAAUAGUUCUUCCAAAUUCCUUAACCCUCUUUGUUCACUCAAACAAUGGCCUUUGUAACCAAGAACAAAGUUAGGAGCAGGUGACAGAUUAUUUUUAAUGCUGUCAAGACAAGUGGCUGUUUAAUUUUUGACAUUUUCUCUCUCUAAGCCUGCCUUUAUUCUUUGCAGAUAUGUUGACUCAGAGCCCUCCAUCAGAAUUCUUCUCACCAUGGCAAGACUGAGCCCAAAUCGUUUUCAGAAACUGGUUAGUCAUCACUCAGGAACACUGUGGAACAGAGUAGAAUUACCAGGUUCUUAGGGGUGGCAGUUUUCCCUGGAACCCCAAUUCUCUGAUUUCUGUAAGAAGAGUCAUUGAUCUCUAGUCUUUAAAGACUUUCUUGUGAGAAUGGAAGGGAAUGAAGAUGCCCAAGGUCUUUAUGUGCUGGAGUGGAAAGCAGACGUUGGAAGGCUCUUUGACAUAUCUGAGCUGAGAUGAAUGAAGAGAAAGAGCUGCCAUGCUCCACACCCAACGUAGAGCCCAAUGCAGGGCUUGAACUCAUGACCCUACAAUCAAGACCUGAGCUGAGCUCAAGAGUUGGAUGCUCAACCGACUGAGUCCCCAGGUACUCCCUAAUUUUGCAUCAUAUUUGUGCUGUGCUCUCCUGCCUGGACUGACUGACUACCUGACCAAGGAAGCUAACCACCUUUCUUCUCUCAUCUCGUGGUUCCUGGAACAUUCCAGAGCAAGUGUGAAGCCUGCAAUGGAAUUGAAUUGGGAUUUUACGCACGAACAAGAUUUCAAUAGCCAUUUAACCCAUCAUGAAACAUAGAUCCAUGAGUUGAGAGUUCAAUGCCUAACCAGUAGAAGAGUCUCUGGACUCCUCUAACUCCCAGGCUCUGAACCUGUCUUGCCUAUGAUCUGCUCUCCUUGGAGACCAGCCGUAUGUGCACAGCUUCCGUUCUGGCUGCCUUGUUGCUGGAGUCUCUGAGCUGCCCCCCGCCUCCCAUGACACCACAGCUAGGAGGCCAGGAGCAGGAUGACUGUCCAUUGCACUCUACAGAACACAAGGCAUCAAAGCCCAGUGUUCCUGGUCCACAGUAUUGCUGCUUUAUUAUUGUCAAUGGAACCUAGGUGUGGCUGGCCUUUCAGUAAAAUGGAGGUAACCUAAUUAAAGGAUUCAGUGGCAAUUGAAUUAUUGUUUUCCAGUGACCAGGCCAAAGAAUCUCCUGGCGGCAGAGGCAGCCUCUCUUGGACUAAGGCUUCUGGAGGAGGCAGCGGGCAGAUUGUAGAUAUCAUCUCUCCUUUUGGAUAUGAACAAGAAAAAUGUUUUGUUUUUGUUUUUUUGUUUUGUUUUGUUUUGUUUUUUGUUUUGUUUUUUUUUAAAAAAAGGUCCAUCACAGAGGACCCGCAUAGAAAUCCAUGUGGGACUGAGCCCUGAGAUCAGAAUACUUAGAGAGGCUCAGGUUCAGAGCUCCUUCCCUUCCAAGCCCGUGGCGGAAAAUUUCAUCUAAUUCCAUUUUACAUCUCUGUCCUGCUGGACUUAAUAACUUGCCUUUCUCCCACUUACCCAGUUGUUUCAAACGACUGAAUCAAGCUGACAUUUUGAUAGUAAACUUCAAGAUGGGGAGAGUUUUCAAAUUUAGCGUCUUUUCCCCUAAUAUGGUUUUCAUUGAUUUGGAGAGUUACUCUUUUACAAUUCCCGGGCAGGGACUGAGACAUUCUUCCCGGAGAGCAGGUGGGGGCAAACACUCUCUUUGUACAAAGAUGGCUUAGAUUUCUUCCCAGCUUCCUCUCCUGCAACAGCUCAGGAAGCAUAAAUGGGUUGGGGGAUGGGGCGUGUGUCGAAUGGAAACAUUUUGUAAUUUCAAAGCAACCGAACAAAAUAGAUCCUUCAGAACGGUUUUAUUUUCUGUGGAGACAGAGUCGUGGGCACAAAACCACCUCCUCUUCUUCAACCUGCAUCUGUAGCCUUUUGCAUUACCCCAUCACCAGCAGAAAAUAGGAUUUCUCACCUACAGAUGGUGAAGAGAGAGGAGGCUAGCCUGAACAUUAGGUAGAAAUUACUUGUCAAGUUUGAUCAAUUCAGAGAAAAUCCAAAUCCCCUUUGAAAAGGCACAGUGGAUAUUCCCAGAUUAGUGGGAUGUCCUUAUAGAUCCAUUGUUUGGGUAAAUUGUCUGCAUAUGCAGCAUGUUUGCUAAAUGAAUGAUGCAUUUGCAUCUAAAUGGUCCAUAAAUAAUUUGAUUCAGCUCCGGACAGGGUCAUAAACAAGCCCCCUCCUCACCAUCGGACUUGUGAGCUGCUUAUGAGUGUGGACUCACUCCUCUCUUAUUGCUUUGUGCUAUUAUUUGACAAGGCACUGGGGAAGGAGUACAUGAAUCUAUUAACGAGAACCAAUCUCCAUUAUGAGCUGAGGUUUGAGGGAGCUGACAGAGAAAUCUUUCAUAAUGUGCUGCUUUUGGCCUCCAGCUCUCUGGGCAAAAAUCUUAAAAAAGAAAUCAGAAAUCAGUGUUGCUGCCACUGUAGAAACUCUGGUUUGCGCGUUGGGGACAGGGUGAAGCAUUAAUUACCAUCUGCAUGCUGCUUUUUACGAGAGCACUGAGUACCUGUGUCUCCCAUCCAGCCCGUUGGUAUUUAUAGCACACGUGCUGUGGAUGUGCGGCCCAACGUCUCCAUUUGAGUUGGUACUCGGAGGAUUUUUACUACUGAGUGGACGCAGCCAGGCAUUAGAGCCACACAGAGCUUUCCUUCCAGUCCAAGCUGAUGGGUUCCAGCUCCCAGUUUGGAAGGCAGGGAGCUGACAAUGGCAUUGACAGUUGCCAGUUACCAUCUGCAGUUAUGUCAUGCCUGUUGUGUCAAAACUGUGACUUUUUAUGGCCAUCUUUCAUGAGAUUUGUGGUGUUCCAUCCUUUUAAAGGCUCCAAGGGGAUGGUAUACCUUGAUUUAAGAAAGCUCAAUAUAUUAAAUCUAGCUUCACGUGAAAGAAAUAUAGAAGCGCACUUACUCACUUUGCAAAAGGAUUCACAAUGGGAUUCUUUCAGUAAUAAAUAUUAUAUGUGGCACUUAGAAUGUGAUUUCGUUUGUUGUUUCAGGAAUAGGGCUAUUGGCAAAAUGCAGCCUACUUAAAGGGUCUUGGUGCUCCUCAAGGCAGAUUACUAACCCCUUGUUCCCCAGGCCCCACCAGCAUGGGGACAGCCCAGAACUCAGAUGACAAUUCCAGUGGUAGCUGCUGCUUAUCACCAGUCUCGUUCUUGAAACUCUGUCGUUCUUUACCAUGACAGCUUAAGAUGCCUCGCUUAGUGCAGAUGCCAGUCCCUUUCCAGUUGUCUUUUUUUUUUUUUAAGAUUUUUAUUUAUUUAUUCAUGAGAGGCACAAAGAGAGGCAGAGACACAGGCAAAGGGAGAAGCAGGCUCUCUGUGGGGAACUUGUUGCAGAACUCUAUACUGGGACCCCGGGAUCAUGCCCUGGGCCGAAAGGCAGACACUCAACCGCUGAGCCACCCAGGUGUCCCACCAGUUUGCCUUCUUGACCAAAGCUAAGUCUGAAAGCCUAUACUACAUACUCCUGCAUGUAGGGCUCUUCAUAUAAUUUAGGGAUUUGAUCCUUAGGCAAGCAUGGAAGAAGGGACAUCUGGCUCUUGUAGGGGAGGAGAGAUCAUUUUCCCUCUACCCUUCUAAGUUCUUAGCUGAGAUGCUUGGAAUAAAAGAUGAACAAGAGAAAUGCAGUUUACAAAUACGUAUACCUCAUGUAUACAUGGGAGAUACUCAGGAGAAAUGAGUAAGCCGAAGAGGUGAUUUUAAAAUUCAGAUUUAAAUACCAUCUUAAGAGGGAAAGGAGGGA